CUUUGAUUGGGCCCCGAAUGGUGGGCGGCUGGGCAGGUCUGGGGGUAUCCGGUUCCGGAGACAGGCGCCCCUGUGAACACUGCCUCCCUGUUCCCCACUGGCUCUAUUUUUCUUAAUGCGAAAGUGCGCUGGUGGAGCCCUCGCGUAAUUAGGUUAUACAGGAAGCACGGAUGGGGAGACCUCAGGAAACUUACAAUCAUGGCGGAAGGCGAAGAGGAAGGAGGCACAUCUUACAUGGCCGGAGCAAGAAAGAGAGCGAACAGGGAGGUGCUACGCACUUUUAAACAACCAGGUCCCAUGAGAAUUCACUAUCACAAGAAACAGCAAGGGGGAAAUCAACCCCCAUGAUCCAAUCAUCUCCCACCAGGACCCUCCUCCAACACUGGGGAUUACAAUUUGCCGUGAGAUUUGAGCAGGGACACAAAUCCAAACCCUAUCACCAGGCCUGGCAGAUAUUUGUUCAAUGAAUAAACUCGUGUCUCCUCCAUCAGGCUGUAAGCUCCCCGAGGUUAAAAACAGGUCUGUCUUGACAAUCCCUGGUUCCCCAGAACACUGGCCAAGUAACAACACUGAGCAGGGACUCAGUACAUGUUAAACAAGUGACUCUCUUACCUUCAUUUACCCCACACCUCCCUGAGAAUCAUGAAUUCAGGGGGACUUGGAAGGUACAUCUGAGUUCAUCUUUCCAGGAGUCACACACUUAAAUGCCUCGGGGUCAGCUAGGAGCAUAGGUACAAACUAGGUCAUGACCUUGUAAGGCACUUGGGAGUGCUGAGGCCUGUGGCCAACUAACUGGUGGGCAUGUUUGGAUAAUCAAUUAAAACACAUCUCUUUUGGUUAUUCUUUUCUUCCUCUCUGGUCUCCCUGUAUUAGUUGGUGUUCUCCAGAGAGACAGAGCCAAAAGGAUAUGUAUAUCCUAUAUGUGUGUAACACACACACACA
This 942-nucleotide long non-coding RNA is filed under the name Homo sapiens (human). RNAcentral's name for it is "HSALNT0154279". The record is from RNAcentral. Lineage: Eukaryota; Metazoa; Chordata; Mammalia; Primates; Hominidae.